RNAcentral lists this ribosomal RNA (703 nucleotides) under uncultured marine bacterium. RNAcentral describes it as "bacterial SSU rRNA". It matches the Rfam family "Bacterial small subunit ribosomal RNA", at positions 55 to 754 of the family's 1533-position model. The record is from RNAcentral.
AUGCAAGUCGUGCGAGAAAGAUCUUCGGAUAUGAGUAGAGCGGCGGACGGGUGAGUAACGCGUAGGAAUCUACCUAGUAGAAGGGGAUAGCCCGGGGAAACCCGGAUUAAUACCGUAUACCUCCUUCGGGAGAAAGAAGGCCUCUCUUUGAAGCUUUCGCUAUUAGAUGAGCCUGCGUAAGAUUAGCUUGUUGGUGAGGUAAAGGCUCACCAAGGCAACGAUCUUUAGCUGGUCUGAGAGGACGAUCAGCCACAUUGGGACUGAGACACGGCCCAGACUCCUACGGGAGGCAGCAGUGGGGAAUAUUGGACAAUGGGCGCGAGCCUGAUCCAGCCAUACCGCGUGUGUGAAGAAGGCCUUCGGGUUGUAAAGCACUUUAAGCAGGGAGAAAAAGUUAUAAGUUAAUACCUUAUGAUCUUGAUGUUACCUGCAGAAUAAGCACCGGCUAAUUCCGUGCCAGCAGCCGCGGUAAUACGGAAGGUGCAAGCGUUAAUCGGAAUUACUGGGCGUAAAGCGCGCGUAGGUGGUUUGUUAAGUUGGAUGUGAAAGCCCUGGGCUCAACCUAGGAACUGCAUCCAAAACUAACUCACUUGAGUACGAUAGAGGGAGGUAGAAUUCAUAGUGUAGCGGUGGAAUGCGUAGAUAUUAUGAAGAAUACCGGUGGCGAAGGCGGCCUCCUGGAUCUGUACUGACACUGAGGUGC